Molecule: ribosomal RNA, 468 nt
Filed under: uncultured bacterium
Lineage: Bacteria
Description: partial 16S ribosomal RNA
Rfam family: Bacterial small subunit ribosomal RNA
Source: RNAcentral
GACGAACGCUGGCGGCGUGCUUAACACAUGCAAGUCGAACGGAAAGACCCUGCUUUUGUGGGGUGCUCGAGUGGCGAACGGGUGAGUAACACGUGAGUAACCUGCCCUUGACUUUGGGAUAACUUCAGGAAACUGGGGCUAAUACCGGGUAGGAGCUCCUGCUGCAUGGGGGGGGUAGGAAAGAUUCGGCGGUUGGGGAUGGACUAGCGGCUUCUCAGCUGGUUGGUGGGGUAGUGGCUUCCCAAGGUUUUGACGGGUCGCCGGCCUGGGCGGGUUACCGGCCACAUUGGGACUGAGAUACGGACCAGACUGCUACGGGAGGCAGCGGUGGGGAAUAUUGCACAGUGGGCGGAAGCCUGAUGCAGCAACGCCGCGUGCGGGAUGACGGCCUUCGGGUUGUAAACCGCUUUCGCCUGUGCCGAAGCGUGCGUGACGGUAAUGGGUAAAGAAGCACCGGCUAACUACGUG